RNAcentral lists this ribosomal RNA (267 nucleotides) under uncultured bacterium. RNAcentral's name for it is "partial 16S ribosomal RNA". It matches the Rfam family "Bacterial small subunit ribosomal RNA", at positions 1226 to 1500 of the family's 1533-position model. The record is from RNAcentral.
UACAAUGGCGUAAACAAAGGGAAGCAGCCCUGUGAAGGUGAGCAAAUCCCAAAAAUAACGUCCCAGUUCGGAUUGUAGUCUGCAACCCGACUACAUGAAGCUGGAAUCGCUAGUAAUCGCGCAUCAGCCAUGGCGCGGUGAAUACGUUCCCGGGCCUUGUACACACCGCCCGUCAAGCCAUGGGAGCCGGGGGUACCUGAAGUGCGUAACCGCGAGGAGCGCCCUAGGGUAAAACUGGUGACUGGGGCUAAGUCGUAACAAGGUAAC